Molecule: ribosomal RNA, 462 nt
Filed under: uncultured bacterium
Lineage: Bacteria
Description: partial 16S ribosomal RNA
Rfam family: Bacterial small subunit ribosomal RNA
Source: RNAcentral
GAUGAACGCUGACAGAAUGCUUAACACAUGCAAGUCUUUGGCGAAGCUGUGCUUGCACAGCCUAGCCAAGGCGGACGGGUGAGUAACGCGUAAGGAACUUGCCCUGCAGUCAGGGAUAACAGACGGAAACGACUGAUAAGACCUGGUAAAGUCAGGCGGACUCAUGUCCAGCCUGAUGAAAAGAGAUGCUGCAGGAGAGCCUUGCGUCCUAUUAGCUUGUUGGUGGGGUAACGGCCCACCAAGGCGAUGAUAGGUAGCCGGCCUGAGAGGGUGGACGGCCACAAGGGGAAUGAGAUACGGCCCUUACUCCUACGGGAAGCAGCAGGGGGGAAUAUUGGACAAUGGGGGCAACCCUGAUCCAGCAAUUCUGUGUGCACGAUGAAGGUUUUCGGAUUGUAAAGUGCUUUCAGCAGGGAAGAAAAAAUGACGGUACCUGCAGAAGAAGCGACGGCUAAAUACGUG